This is a long non-coding RNA of Neopsephotus bourkii (Bourke's parrot), 2777 nucleotides long. RefSeq lists it as uncharacterized. NCBI's taxonomy places the organism in Eukaryota, Metazoa, Chordata, Aves, Psittaciformes, Psittacidae. The record is from RefSeq and is a predicted model, not a curated record. The transcript has 5 exons.
ACACACACACAAGCACAUACACACGCGCGCGCGCGCACACACACACACGCAUGCACGCGCGCACACACACGCACACACACAGACACACACACCCGCCCGCUCGGCUCCGCUCCCGAGCUGCCUCAGCAAGGAGGAGCCCGGACGGAAAACACCCGGGCAGCAAGGAUUUGGAAGUGGAGUUCCUGGAGAGUGAUCCUGGUAUGAGUGCGUGUUUCAGCGAAAGCUGAGGCUGCUUGUUGUUUACUAGGAGUCUGAGAAGAGAGGGGACCCUGGAUGUCAGUUCAUUCCCCGUUUUUUAUUUGUCUUGACUUUGAGGCAGACUUUCAGCUCUGGAAACUGACAGGUAAGGGAAGUAAAUCAUUCUGACACCUGAAAAGUCCAGGAUCUUUCUAGAAAAUGGUGGAGCUUCUCUCAUCACUAAUUUUCUAUAGCCAAAGAAGCCCCGGCUGCCUACUGUGUGGGAAGAGAGGCUCUAAACCAUAAACAGGCCAAUAAUACAUCACACCAUCUGAUUACAAUGAAUGUGAAAGCAAAAGAUGGUUGGAAAGGUGCUGGUGAAAGGUUGUUUCAACUGGAGCAGAGGAGAGAAGGUUGUCCAACAUGUUUGAAACUACAACUUGAUCCACAGUCUGUUGAGGCCAGUAAGGGUCUUCCCUUGGCAUCUGAAGGCUUCUGAUCAGUUGUGUCAGUUCCUCAAGACAAAGACCCUAUCUUUUGAGUCAGUCGGUGUGUGGUUUACGUUGGUAAGUGCUUAGUAAAUUAGGUGAGUUUGCUGCGUUAGAGACAGAAGAUGUGUUGCAAGUUCAUAACUGCUCUUAACUACAUAGUGAAGACCUUGCUCAGAUCAUGAUUCUACGAAUACAGCGAAUAAUAAGUGAAAUUCAAACUCUGAAACUAUGCAAUUAAUUUCCGUUCCGGAGAACUAAGAGAAUACAGCAAGAAUGGGUUAUCAGGUACUGAGGUGACCAACCUUUCUAAAAUAUGCCAGCAUGCAAGCUUUUGCUGAGUAAACUAUAAACUUCUACACUAUUGCAGAAUGACUGUCAGUUCCUGCCUCAUAAAAUCUAAAUGUAACUUUUUUCAAAGAGUUAAUCAGAGUACACCACCAAGAAUAAGUCAUUUCAAGAAUUACCAUCAACGAACUCAUCUGAACCUAGCCCAGCUACUGCCUGCAGCUUCAAACAGAUGCAGCACUUACUCCAGGCACUCUCCCAUUCCUCACUGUCCAUCACACCUCUCUGGAAAAUGGGAAGAGCAACUGUUACAGCUACAGAGAAGUCUGCAGAAGGGUUGACAUCAAAGCUGUGUUUUUCCUUUCUCAGUGUGCUAGUUUUCUUUUCACUUUUACAAACAGUGGCUGCUAUAUGUUUUGGCAGGCUUGUGCUUCUGGCUUGAUUUUACACCACCUAUUGUUAAAGGCCAUUUAGUAUUACAGUGAAAUAGUAGGUUUGGUUUGUUUAUUUACAAUGUCUCCCUUUCUUUUGGAGUUUUUCUAUUAAAUGAAAAUCUCUUUGCCCACAGAGGAGCUGUAGCAGCUUUCACUGGGAAAGUAAGUUUCUGUCAGUAUUUUUUUGUAUGUCUUCACUUUUAAAAAAGGUGUCAUGAAAAGAGCUGCAAAACCCACCAUUGCUGGCAAAGAAAAGAAAUUGUAAUCAGUUCCUUACAACAGAGUAACAAUUCUUUAAUAUUUGCACUAUUCGCUAGGAGUUCAUUCAUGUAACAACAGCACAUCCUGUGAAUCACACCUUAACGUUGUUGGAGCUUUUUAUAGUAAAAUAGAUUAAGGGUGGAGAAUUCAUAUAAAGGGACAAGAAUGUAACUCACACAUUAGUCAGUGAUUGUGAAUCAAAAUUAUUCUGGGUAAUUAAGUAAGUCUGAAGGUGUUUAAGUGCACUAAAAGAGAGCCAAGACAGUGUAAAAUACUUUUGCGCUAAAGAAAGCAUAAAUCACAGCAACUUACCCUAGAAUUUGACUCAGCCGCUGCUUAAGUUACAUACUGUGUAAAUCCAUAAAGUCAGCUACUACAGGCUCUUCAGUUUGUUGAAUGUUUUAAUUAAGGGGAUUCUGUCAAGGUAUUUCUCAUUAUUAGCAGAAUAUUGUAUACAAGAUGACUAGAGAUGGGUGAAUUCAUUUUACCUCAUUACAAGCCCAUUCAAAGAGCAUUUCUAAUCAUGAAAUAGUAUUAGUUUCUUGUUCUUUUCAGAAGAUCGCAUAGAAUAAUACCUAAUAAUAAAAUAAGGGAAGCAGAAGAGAAGAAAGCAGCAUGGGAAAACAAAUAUGAACAUAGUGUGAAGAAUGGAUUAGAUAACAUGGGAAGAAGAUCUGAAAGAAAAACUAGUAAUACAUCCUGCCCAUGGUCCAAAGAAAUAUCUGACAUGUUGUGUAGCUGGGUGUUAUUUUCUGACCUGCUAAGUAAGGUUUAAAUUGCAUUAAAGAAAUGUCUGCAAAGUCACAUUAGCUCUGCAAAACCUGUGGAUCAUAAGAAUAAUGUAAGAUGUUCACAGACAUUGAGUUUGCUCAAGACUGAUGAUAAUCCCUUGUGAAACGCAAACUGAAAUCUGUUUGCCUACCAAAAUAAGGCCUUUUUCUUACCCCCCUUCCCAUUCACAGACACAGGCAUGUUGUUGGCUUGUUAUUGUAGUUUAUGAAUCUUGGCCUUUAUUCCUGUGAAAUUAGUCUUAUCAACUUAAUCUGACAAAAUGUAAAAUUCUAUGUAAAGCUGACAGACUUGGAAAAAGUAAUAGAAACUAAAAGGAGAUAAACAUAGCUUUAUGAAA